This is a non-coding RNA of Pelobates cultripes (western spadefoot toad), 221 nucleotides long. NCBI's taxonomy places the organism in Eukaryota, Metazoa, Chordata, Amphibia, Anura, Pelobatidae. The record is from the annotation of a GenBank genome assembly.
CCCACACUGUGUAAUUUGACUCCUAACACUGAUUGGUAGAUUAAGUAACCAAUCAGAGUGUUAUGAGUCAAAUUACACAGCGUGGGAAAUUAGGUCCCGCCCCCCUUGCUAUAAUUUAAGGCCACCACCCACCACUCAGGGGUGGGGCCGGGGAAGGACAUUAGGUCCCCCCUCCAAUUUUUAUUUAGGGCCCCCACCCUCCACUCAUGGGUGGGGGCCGG